CGCGAACGCUGGCGGCAUGCUUAACACAUGCAAGUCGCACGGGAGGGGCAACCCUUCAGUGGCGGACGGGUGAGUAACGCGUAGGUAUCUGUCUCUGGGUGGGGGAUAACCAUGGGAAACUAUGGCUAAUACCGCAUGAAGCCUGAGGGCCAAAGCAGCGAUGCGCCUGGAGAGGAGCCUGCGUACGAUUAGCUAGUUGGUGGGGUAAAGCCCACAAGGCGACGAUCGUUAGCUGGUCUGAGAGGAUGAUCAGCCACACUGGGACUGAGA
RNAcentral lists this ribosomal RNA (270 nucleotides) under uncultured bacterium. Its description in RNAcentral is "partial 16S ribosomal RNA". It matches the Rfam family "Bacterial small subunit ribosomal RNA", at positions 29 to 324 of the family's 1533-position model. The record is from RNAcentral.